GAUGAACGCUGGCGGCGUGCUUAAUACAUGCAAGUCGAGCGAAAGGACGCGAAGCUUGCUUCUUUGAUGUUAGCGGCGGACGGGUGAGUCACACGUGGAUAACCUCCCUAUAUGUCUGGGAUAAUUUCGGGAAACCGUAGCUUAUCCCGGAUAAUAUUUUGCACCGCAUGGUUCAUAAGAGAAAGACGGUCUUGCUGUCACUUAUAGAUGGAUCCGCGCUGCAUGAGCUAGUUGGUAAGGUAACCGCUUACCAAGGCAACGAUGCAUAGACGACCUGUGAGAGUGAUCGGCCACACGGGAGCUGGGACGCCGACCAGGCUCCUACGGGAGGCAGCAGUAGGGAAUCGUCCGCAAUGGUCGAAAGCCUUGCGGAGCGACGCCGCGUGAGUUAUGAAGGUCUUCGGAGCGUAAAACUCUGUUAUUGGGGGAGAACAGAUUUGUAAGUAACUGUGCACAUCUUGACGGUACCGAAUCAGAAAGCCACGGCUAACUACGUG
Molecule: ribosomal RNA, 497 nt
Filed under: uncultured bacterium
Lineage: Bacteria
Description: partial 16S ribosomal RNA
Rfam family: Bacterial small subunit ribosomal RNA
Source: RNAcentral